Molecule: ribosomal RNA, 437 nt
Filed under: uncultured bacterium
Lineage: Bacteria
Description: partial 16S ribosomal RNA
Rfam family: Bacterial small subunit ribosomal RNA
Source: RNAcentral
GAUGAACGCUGGCGGCAUGCCUAACACAUGCAAGUCGGACGGGAGGAGAUUUGUCCAGUGGCGGACGGGUGAGUAACGCGCAAGAACCUGCCCUAGGGAGCGGAACCACAGCUGGCAACGGCUGCUAAUACCCCGUAGUCUGAGUAGCAAAAGGUGGGACCCGCGCGUGGAGGGGCUGGGGAAGGGUAACCUAGGUGGUGGGGCGAUAGCUUACCAAGGUGAUGAUUAGUAGCUGGUCCGAGUGAAUGAUGGGCCACACUGGGACUGAGAGACGGACAGGAGUCCUGAGGAAGACGGCAGUGGGGAAGUUCCCGCAAUGCGGGGUGGCCUGAGAGAGCAAUGCCGUGGGGAGGUAGAAUGGUCACGAGAGGUAAGCAGCUUUUCAAGAAGAAGAUGCAAUGACGGUAUCUGACGAAUAAGCAUCGGCUAACUCCGUG